AGUGAACGCUGGCGGUAGGCCUAACACAUGCGAGUCGAACGGCAGCACAGUAAGAGCUUGCUCUUACGGGUGGCGAGUGGCGGACGGGUGAGGAAUACAUCGGAAUCUACUUUUUCGUGGGGGAUAACGUAGGGAAACUUACGCUAAUACCGCAUACGACCUACGGGUGAAAGCAGGGGAUCUUCGGACCUUGCGCGAUUGAAUGAGCCGAUGUCGGAUUAGCUAGUUGGCGGGGUAAAGGCCCACCAAGGCGACGAUCCGUAGCUGGUCUGAGAGGAUGAUCAGCCACACUGGAACUGAGACACGGUCCAGACUCCUACGGGAGGCAGCAGUGGGGAAUAUUGGACAAUGGGCGCAAGCCUGAUCCAGCCAUACCGCGGGGGUGAAGAAGGCCUUCGGGUUGUAAAGCCCUUUUGUUGGGAAAGAAAAGCAGCAGGUUAAUACCCCGCUGUUCUGACGGUACCCAAAGAAUAAGCACCGGCUAACUUCGU
RNAcentral lists this ribosomal RNA (491 nucleotides) under uncultured bacterium. Its description in RNAcentral is "partial 16S ribosomal RNA". It matches the Rfam family "Bacterial small subunit ribosomal RNA", at positions 29 to 506 of the family's 1533-position model. The record is from RNAcentral.